GCCAGCAGCAUACCAUCCUGCAUCCCACUGCUGGCUUGCCUCUGAAGCUAAGCAGGAUUGGUCCCUGGAUGGUAGACCAGAUGCUGCUGGAA
Ribosomal RNA from Hucho hucho (huchen), 92 nucleotides. NCBI's taxonomy places the organism in Eukaryota, Metazoa, Chordata, Actinopteri, Salmoniformes, Salmonidae. The record is from Ensembl.